AUACGGAAGGUCCGGGCGUUAUCCGGAUUUAUUGGGUUUAAAGGGAGCGUAGGCCGGAGAUUAAGCGUGUUGUGAAAUGUAGAUGCUCAACAUCUGCACUGCAGCGCGAACUGGUUUCCUUGAGUACGCACAAAGUGGGCGGGAUUCGUGGUGUAGCGGUGAAAUGCUUAGAUAUCACGAAGAACUCCGAUUGCGAAGGCAGCUCACUGGAGCGCAACUGACGCUGAAGCUCGAAAGUGCGGGUAUCGAACAGGAUUAGAUACCCUGGUAGUCCGCACGGUAAACGAUGGAUGCCCGCUGUUGGUCUGAAUAGGUCAGCGGCCAAGCGAAAGCAUUAAGCAUCCCACCUGGGGAGUACGCCGGCAACGGUGAAACUCAAAGGAAUUGACGGGGGCCCGCACAAGCGGAGGAACAUGUGGUUUAAUUCGAUGAUACGCGAGGAACCUUACCCGGGCUUGAAUUGCAGAGGAAGGAUUUGGAGACAAUGACGCCCUUCGGGGCCUCUGUGAAGGUGCUGCAUGGUUGUCGUCAGCUCGUGCCGUGAGGUGUCAGCUUAAGUGCCAUAACGAGCGCAACCCCUCUCCUUAGUUGCCAUCAGGUUAAGCUGGGCACUCUGGGGACACUGCCACCGUAAGGUGUGAGGAAGGUGGGGAUGACGUCAAAUCAGCACGGCCCCUACGUCCGGGGCUACACACGUGUUACAAUGGCAGGUACAGAGAGACGGUCCCUUGCAAAAUGGAUCAAAUCCUUAAAGCCUGUCUCAGUUCGGACUGGGGUCUGCAACCCGACCCCACGAAGCUGGAUUCGCUAGUAAUCGCGCAUCAGCCAUGGCGCGGUGAAUACGUUCCCGGGCCUUGUACACACCGCCCGUCAAGCCAUGAAAGCCGGGGGCGCCUAAAGUCCGUGACCGUAAGGAGCGGCCUAGGGCGAAACUGGUAAUUGGGGCU
This 947-nucleotide ribosomal RNA is filed under the name uncultured bacterium. Its description in RNAcentral is "bacterial SSU rRNA". It matches the Rfam family "Bacterial small subunit ribosomal RNA", at positions 523 to 1482 of the family's 1533-position model. The record is from RNAcentral.